RNAcentral lists this ribosomal RNA (415 nucleotides) under bacterium E-1-0-8G. RNAcentral describes it as "bacterial SSU rRNA". It matches the Rfam family "Bacterial small subunit ribosomal RNA", at positions 469 to 882 of the family's 1533-position model. The record is from RNAcentral.
UGGACGUUACUCGCAGAAUAAGCACCGGCUAACUCUGUGCCAGCAGCCGCGGUAAUACAGAGGGUGCAAGCGUUAAUCGGAUUUACUGGGCGUAAAGCGCGCGUAGGUGGCCAAUUAAGUCAAAUGUGAAAUCCCCGAGCUUAACUUGGGAAUUGCAUNGCGAUACUGGUUGGCUAGAGUAUGGGAGAGGAUGGUAGAAUUCCAGGUGUAGCGGUGAAAUGCGUAGAGAUCUGGAGGAAUACCGAUGGCGAAGGCAGCCAUCUGGCCUAAUACUGACACUGAGGUGCGANAGCAUGGGGAGCAAACAGGAUUAGAUACCCUGGUAGUCCAUGCCGUAAACGAUGUCUACUAGCCGUUGGGGCCUUUGAGGCUUUAGUGGCGCAGCUAACGCGAUAAGUAGACCGCCUGGGGAGUA